GGGAAGAUCUCCUGAAGGAGGGCAUGGCAACCCCACUCCAGCAUCCUUGCCUGGAGAAUCCCAUGGACAGAGGAACCUGGUGGGCUGCAGUCCAUUUGGUCGCAAAGAGUGGGACAGGACCGAAGUGACUUAGCAGCAACAGCAGCAGCAGCGGGAGGUUGUUUAACAGAAGUGAUGCCAUUUGCUCUGUGUGCUCAGAAACUGGGGAAAUUACCCUGGAUGAUUGCUGCCCCAUGGAGUUUGUUGAUUCUGUUAACUUUCCUCCUGUUUGAAGCCCCAGACCACUACUCCUAAGACCCUCUUUUGUUUUUAAAUGAAGAUGAUAUUUAAUGUGAGAAUUUCAGCCAUUUUGAAUUGGCUUCAGUUCAGUUCAGUUGCUCAGUUGUGUCCGACUCUGUGACCCCAUGGACUGUAGCACGCCAGGCCUCCCUGUCCAUCACCAACUCCUGGAGUUUACUCAAACUCAUGUCCGUUGAGUCGGUGAUGCCAUCCAACCAUCUCAUCCUCUGUCGUCCCCUUCUCCUCCUGCCUUCAAUCUUUCCCAGCUUCAGGGUCUUUUCAUGUAACCUGAUUUAUAAGCUAAAAGAAUGAUUAUGUAAUGCACUGGAAUAUUUGAUAAAAAGUCAUCUACAAUAAACCAAAAGAAAUGGAAAGGAAUGAAGAGAACAGGGAAGUCCAAGAGCUUUUGAAGUUGGGAGUGGCAGAUGCUUUUCACCUCAGUUGUUGCUCAGUCAUGUCCAGAUCUUUGGGACUCCAUGGAGUAUAGCCCGCCAGGCUCUUCUGUCCAUGGAAUUUUCCAGGCAAGAAUAUUGGAGUAGGUUGCCAUGCCCUCCUCCAGGAAAUCUUCCUGACCCAGGGAUCAAACCAUUGUCUCCUGUGAGUCCUGCAUUACAGGUAGAUUCUUCACUGCUGAGCCACCCGGGAAGCAACACAGCCUACCUAACAUAAAACUUGUGAAAGUAUAUUUCAAUAGGUCAAACCCACAUAGCAAAGUUUCUUGAAUUAUUAUUAGAAGUAUAGGUUCCAGCUCUAGUUAAAUCGUAUAAACAUACUCUAUUCUAUUUCUCCCAAUGACUAUAACACAAAUCCUGAACAGAAUACAUAAAGAAGCUAAAGACGCUGAAAAGUAAGUAAUAGCAGACAAAUUAGGGAGGAAAUCAAAACUCAAGACCAACAAAUUGUGAAUUCUCAGCUUUUACCCUCUAUUAUUUCCUGGUUUA
This is a long non-coding RNA of Bos taurus (domestic cattle), 1220 nucleotides long. The record is from Ensembl. Lineage: Eukaryota; Metazoa; Chordata; Mammalia; Artiodactyla; Bovidae.